RNAcentral lists this long non-coding RNA (930 nucleotides) under Populus trichocarpa (black cottonwood). Its description in RNAcentral is "long non-coding RNA (PTRI_LNC000764)". Lineage: Eukaryota; Viridiplantae; Streptophyta; Magnoliopsida; Malpighiales; Salicaceae. The record is from RNAcentral.
UAAAUAUAAUAAUAUUAUGUGUAAUCAAUUAAUUACAAGACAUAUUAUACUAAAAAAAUCAAGGCAAUGACAUGACUCUCUGUCUCUCUCUCCCUUCUACACACAUUGAAAUUCCAAUGCAAACGGCAUUGACAUGCAAAUGCUAGACUAUAUUAUAUACAUAAUUCAAUUAGUGCAUGAUCACAAAUUCCGCAACUUGUUUUCCACUAUGCAUAAAGCAUAGAUUUUAAAUCCAAGUAUGGACUGGAAGAUUUACAUGGAAAACUUGUAAUUUCAAGUUUAACCGGAGCCAGGUUCUUAGCAAAAAAUAUGGUGGUUAAAUCCAGCAUACAUUAGCAGAUUUACUUCAAUUUUAGUUGAAUUGGAUAAAUCCGUAACUCAAUAAACUCGUCUAGAUUUUUAGUGAUUCACUUAUCCCUUUCAAACAUAAUUUAAAUCUAGCCGAUUCAAUAUAAAAUAAAUAAAUAAAUAAAUGAUACUUUGAACAAUUAUUUUCAGGUAAGUAUAGUAUAUAAAGUUUUUAGUCACUCUUAACAAUUCGAAAAUAAAUAAAUAAAUGAUACCUUGAACAAUUAUUUUCAGGUAAAUUUUUAUAUCGAGUAUGACAGAUAUAAUAUAAAUUUUUUUGUCACUCUCAACAAUUAGAAACUAAAUAAAUAAAUGAUAUUUGAAAAAUUAUUUUCACGUAAGUCUUUAUAUCGAAUAUGACAGAUAUAGUAUAAAGUUUCUGGUCACUCUCAACAAUUAGAAUAAAUAAAUGAUACUUUGAACAAUUAUUUUCAGGUAAGUCUUUAAAUCGAGUAUGACAGAUAUACUAUAAAGUUUCUGGUCACUCACGACAAUUAGAAAUUUCUACGAGGACAAACUAAGAAACACCAUCUUUUUAUAGCAAAGAUAAAGGAAAGUUGCAAUAAUUUUAGAUUACGAAAA